GGACUCUGGUUCUUCUAUCAAAACACCCCUCCUCCAGUCACCCUGUAUUAAUUCCCAAGCCAACAACUCUUUGAAACCCCAGUAGGUCCAGGAGACCACCAGCCACAGCAUCUCUAGCUCUCAUUUGGAAGGAGGUCAGAAGUCACAGGGAACAAGAAAGAGAGCAACAAAUCCCAGAAUAGGACCAACGAGAAUAGACUCUACAACCAUCAAACCUCCUUAAGGACAGGAAUGGUCUCACUUUUGUAUUGACUGAUCUCCAUAUUAGAUUGGAAAACAGAAGAGAGGAAGCUCACACAGUUUUUAUCAUGAGGAAAUGAUUUCCUGAUCACUUCUAUGAAGUCUGCAAUAAGACUGUGUUCUCAAGCAGUGAUGAAUCUGGCCAAGUAGGGACUGAUGAUACAUGGACAGUCCUAUUCAGGCAAACAAAAUAUAGACUUCUAUAGAGGUGAGGCAGAUCAAAAAAAGAAGAGAAGAGUUGGCAGGAGAGAAGAACCUAUUAUUCUUAAAGAAAAUGUGAGGCUGAUCCUUCUCUGCUCAGAAACCUUCAAUGACUCCCCACUGCCAACAGGCGGCUGA
RNAcentral lists this long non-coding RNA (579 nucleotides) under Monodelphis domestica (gray short-tailed opossum). Its description in RNAcentral is "lncRNA (ENSMODG00000040221.1)". The record is from RNAcentral. Lineage: Eukaryota; Metazoa; Chordata; Mammalia; Didelphimorphia; Didelphidae.